UUUUGUUGCAUGCUCAUCCACUGAACUAAACUCAAACCAGGGAAAAUCGAGCUUGGGGUAUCUUUCAUUCCAAAGUCAUCUCCAAGCCAAGGCAUGGCUCUUUUAAAAGCAUUCUCAAUGUCAGACUCAUCAUCUAGCAUCCCUGGCUGUUUAGGGAACUUGGGUCUGAAAAAUGGUGGGGGGCAAAUGUAGAAAGGAGUUACUACAGGCUCAAUCUCCCAAAUUCCAACUCGGCUUGGCCGUUCACCAGCAGUUGAUUCAUCCCAUCCAACCUGAAGAUUGCGCCACUGUGAUUUUUUCCAUCGCAAUGGAUCCAAAUCACUGAUGCCAGUGAUUGUGCCCAUGUAUCUACGAACUCCUGAAUCCUCGGUCUCAAACAUCAUUCUGAAUCUCAUGCCCAGUGAAACUUGUGUAUACAUUGCUUUAUUAUACUUGGCGAAAGGAAUCACAAACUCAGAAGGGCUUGCCCUUGGAUUGUAAAAUACAGUAAACGGGCUGUUAUUAGCGGCAGCAUGAGCUGCAGCAGCAAGAAUUCCAAUAUGCAUGCUGUCACUGGAUAUGACUGACGAAGAAAGUGCUGGCUGUUGUUUAUUAGCAUGCCUUAUACCCAAGAGAAGCUGUGACUUUUCAUCUCUUAUGAAUAGAACAGAAUCACCAGCAAA
Molecule: unclassified non-coding RNA, 662 nt
Filed under: Hevea brasiliensis (rubber tree)
Lineage: Eukaryota; Viridiplantae; Streptophyta; Magnoliopsida; Malpighiales; Euphorbiaceae
Source: RNAcentral